This is a long non-coding RNA of Myotis brandtii (Brandt's bat), 912 nucleotides long. RefSeq lists it as uncharacterized. The record is from RefSeq and is a predicted model, not a curated record. The transcript is spliced from 2 exons. NCBI's taxonomy places the organism in Eukaryota, Metazoa, Chordata, Mammalia, Chiroptera, Vespertilionidae.
GGCCGCCCCACGGUAGCCCUGGCAACCGCGUGCCGUCAUCCCAUUGGUCAAUUCUGACAUAAAGCAUUCAGCUCUGCCAGAGGGUCCGCAAAUCUGAGCCUCUGUCCUCGCGGCCGAUCCCUUGCCCACGGCUACCCGACCCCUGGAAAUCGGAACCGCAGCGUCACCAUCUCAGAAUUCCCGGCGUCGACGCGGUGGGACUCUUAGUUCCUGGUCGUGGAUCUUAGAGAGUGGGCAGGAAGCCAAAUUUCCUAUUUGCUCCUGGGAAGACUUUUCUGUGACUACCUCCUCUGCCCUGUCUGGCUCCUCCCUCGCAGUCCAGGUAAAAGGUCAUCUUGUAUUACUUUUCUAAUAAAAACCGUUUUUAUUUAAUUACCUCUUCCAGCAUCUUCUCUGACACCUCCAACUCGAACCCAGCCGAAGUAUCUUCAGAGAGCCUUCUUGUGAUGUUCUCAGCUUAGGGCCAUCCCUUCCUCAUUUCAUCCUCUGAAUCCGGCAAACGCCUAGCCACUCUCAUAGGAAAUGUGCCUCCUAAGGCUGAAUGCAAAUGUGAAAAAAUAAUAGUGUGCAACAAUUAAGGAAUCCACACACCUUCUCUCAAGCCAGACCUGAGUCAUUUCUGACAAAAGUGAUGAGAAUACAACCAUCACCACCAAAAAAACCCCCCAAAUACUCAGCUGAAAAGCCUCACUUUCUCCAGCUGCUGUCUCCAGAGCCACCUGAGAGUGGAAAGGAAAGGAAUUGAUCAAUGGUGCUCAGAUGGGUGGGCUUCAGAACCACCUGGAAGGCUUGCUAAAACAGGUUUCUGGGCCCCACCCCAGAGUUUCUGAGUCAGUAAGCCUUAUAGCAAUCAUGUCAAACUCAAAGGCUAACACGGGCCAAAUAAAUGAGGCCUGCGGGCCGAGAGUUUGA